ACAAUGACAUAGGGGUGUGUGAAGUAAAUGUGAGGGUGCAGCGAGUAAUACAUAAACACAUGCCCAAAAAUGAGAAACAAAGACAUAGGGGGUGCGAGUUAUCAGAAUAUGGAGGUGUAUGAAGUGAAAACAAGGGUGCACAUAUUAAGAAAAAGGGGGUGCGUAUAGAUAAAAAAUUAGGGGUGCGCAGAGAUUAAAGACGGAGGUGCGUGGAGUAAAGAUGGGUCUGUCAGCCCAAACCUAACCUCUUAUUUUUUUUUUAAAUCAGAAACCCUAAAGGGUUUAUUUCUCUACCUCUCACACGCGGCUACUUCCUUGCAAAGUUUGUAGUCGCCGCACCUCCACCCUAGGUGCUGCCACUACACAUCCCACGGCCGGCGAGACACGUCACUAUCGACGCUAGCCACCACCGGAGGCGUUGUCGACGAGAACCCAACUCCCCAAAUCUUCGCGCUUCUCGUUUCUUCUCCUGCGCGCGAGACAGUCCCUCUCGUCACUGUCCAACAACAUCUCCCUAAGCUUCCUCUUGCCGCUUCAAGGCCGUCGUCGACCCUGCCAUCGCCGUCGAGGGAAUUACCGGCACUGCCAGUGCGAACAGGAGGCUCGUCCUCUCUAACUCGCGAGCUCUCUAAAACCGAAUAGAGCCCCCUAACAACGAGGUUGGUGAUCAAGAUUGGAGCUGCUGCCAUGACCACACCGUCGAGUCUCCAACCACACCCCUCUGUUCGAACUCCGACUCGCCGCCAACGAUGUCAUCAAGGAUUGCUUGUACUCACCCUUUCGGACCUUUGGAUUAUUGGUUUGUUGUUCUCGUGAUGAUCGUGCAGGGUGUUAGGGAAAGAAAUUAAGGUUCUGAAAUUGAAUAUGUUGUUUGGUGAUGGAGGUCUGUUAGUGGCUAUUUAGAAGAAGAUUGGAAAAGGUGAAUGUAGGUGUGAUGGGUUCGUUUUGGAUGUUGCAUUUGGAUAUCUUUUUUUGGGUCUCUAUUUCUUUGGUUUUUACACAGGUGAGCAAAGAAUACGAGGGUGAGAGUGGUUCAGGUUCAAUGUAGGAAGACGAGAAAUGGGGAUUGCGUGGCAAUGGUGAUGGUUUCGUGCGUGUUGGAUGAAAAUGGAUAUUGAAUCAAAUGAGUUUGAGAACGAAAGAAUGGUGACGAAGGAAUUGGCGAGGAGGUGAAAGUUAUGAAUGAAUGAUCAUGUGCGAGAGCGUGGAAAAGAGUAAACAUAAUAACAACGCUAAAUUCAAAUAAAUUCAACGCAUACAUUCACAAGCAUCAUAAUUAGACAAAGCCAAUAGAAGUUAAGCAGCUAAAGACUUACCUUGUUGUAAAAUCUCUUUCACUAUGUUCUCCUCCUGGAUGCAAUUGUCUGAUCAAGGGUGUGUUUUUUGUUCCUGUUGUGUACAGCAGAUGUUGCUUCUUACUCCUUCAACAAUCAUGACCAUGGCCAGCUAGCUAUUACAUGUAAUUCCCAAUUCAGACGGCAUAGUUGAUGCACAUCUGAACAUCUUUCAACUAGCCAAUAGCAAAAAGGCAUAGACGCCACCAUUCAAGGUUUUAAAGACAAAAGCUAUCCUAACGAGAUUGAAGCCAUGCUUACAAGGAGUAGGAGUGUUGAAGUAAAGUAAUAUGAAAUCUUAUUGGUAAAGUAGUCAUUU
Vigna unguiculata (cowpea) is the source of this 1653-nucleotide long non-coding RNA. The record is from RefSeq and is a predicted model, not a curated record. NCBI's taxonomy places the organism in Eukaryota, Viridiplantae, Streptophyta, Magnoliopsida, Fabales, Fabaceae.